GCGAUUGUUCCCGUUAUACACAUGGGGAACCUGGGGCUUGGCGAGAUUAGUAAAUUGCUUGAGUCCACAUGUCGUAGGUGGUGAAGUUGGGAUCCUAACCCAAUCAGAUGAAUCCCAAGGUUCUUGCUUUUUCCACUUUUGUCAUUGGUUGUACAGAAUACGUUAGUUUAAGGUUGAAGUAGCACCAACCCCCACCCCGACCCCCCGCCAGAGAGGUUGUUCUGGUUAUUCUAUGAGCACGAGAAGUUUAUAAUCUCUUUCAAGGAACCAUCCAGAGUAAAGUCUGUUACUGGGGACACACGGCGAUUACCAAUGGAUUAGUUCUAGAAUCACACUUCUGUAAUCUCGUCUUCACCAAGAUUUAAUUACAUCUCCGGCGUUUGCUUUGUGAUGCUGCUGCCCUCCAACAGCUAACGGGAUAGUUGGUGGAAGUCUGCAAAUAAGAACACGCUCUGCCCGACGAGGGGGCGAGGUAGCACAGGAGCCGCGCUCGGCAGGAGCCCACCAGUAUUUCCAGUCUGUGAUGCUCAGCUCACCGCACAGUGUUAUACAGACACGGCUGCCCACACGUGCACGCGUGCACACGCACACGCCAAGAGAGAAAGGGUGAGAGGAGGGACGUACGGCUUCCUUCCUCUUGCUUCGAAUUUCUAAUGAAACAGUGUUGAAUCCGUCACUUAGGAAUCACAGUUUGGGGCUAUGUCUUCAGAACUAGGUAAACAUCACCUGACGUCCAAUACACGCUCUGCUGACUGGUAGGUUUUGCGUCCCAAGUAACCUGCAAAGGGAAGGGUACUCGCUAGACCGACUGCCCGACUUGGGCAGCUCCUGGCGGGAACGCGGCGUAACAGAAGGCUUUUGUGACCCUGGGAGACAGUCGAACCAGAAACAACCUUCCUAUCCUGCCAGCUUUCAUUACCAGACCCCACUGAACAAGUGAAGCCUAUUUAACAUCUGUCCGGGAAGGAAAAAAUCCAUAUCUGUUUUUUAGCCAGGAUUUUUCAUCCUGUUCUUUUUUAUCCUGGGGAUAUUUCCUUCCACCUCACUUCUCAGCGCAGCCUCACUGUGCUACACCAAGUCACACGGCAUCCUGAUGUCUCCACAUUUCCCCGUGCGUACGCUGCUGCCCGGCCCUCGCUCCUGCAAACAUACCCUGCAGUACCUGGAAGCCAGCGUCAGGGCUCGACACCUGGCAGGCUGAGGCCUGCAGCGCGUUUGGACAGAAAUGGCUCCAUCCUGACAGCUGCCCAGGUUCAGUGCUAGAACCGUUCGGGCUCAAGAAAGAAUGAGGCAACCUCGAGUCAGAAAGCAAGAGUGUCUUGAAUAAGCACCCGGGCUUUCACAGCAGACAACUUAGAUUACACAUGUGGUCCACGUUUGCGGUUCCAUUAUCUUUCUGUUGGGCAGCUCUGCCCCAAGCCCUCUCCAUCACCGAAUUACUCAACAGCCAACAGCUUGUGUAGAGAUUUUUCAUUCCACCAAUAAUCCAGCCGCACCCUCUAUGUUCCAGGCACCAAAUCUACGGCACCAAACAAGGCAACAUAGUCCUACAGUCAAGGAACUUAGAGUAUCCAUGCACAGACAAACAAGCGAAUAAAACAAUUUCUUAAGUACAAAGUGUGCUGAGGGCUAUCAAGGAAAUAAACUGAAUAAUCACGGAAGACUUCAACGAAGUGACAUCUAAGCUAACCUCUAAAAGCUAAGAAGGUGCUCACCCACUAGUCAGAAAGAGAGCAAAUGUGUGUGUGCUUGGUGAGGUGCAUCAUGGUGGAGGGAGCCACAUCCAAAGGCCUGUGGAGUGAAGAAGGCCAGAGGGCAGUGAGGAAGGAGGGGGUGGGCGGAGAAGGGGUCACAUAGGCUGGGGCUGUGGACGGGAGGUGGGAGUUUAAUCCAAGCGGUAUUUCUGAACCCUGCAGAGACUCAACUGAUGAGGGGUAGUGGAAGCCAAGCCACAUGUCAGGAGUCUAUUGCAUAACUGGAAAGACGAUCGGAACUGGACUGAGGGUUUAUAGUGCAAAUAGAGAUAGGUGGGAGGACAGGAGCAACAGGGCUUGCUCAGGGCUUGGAUGCAAGGCUUGAUGAAGAAGUUCACACCAAAGACACCUCUCAGAUAUGUCUACAAUCCAGAUCUUUACAUAAACUCUUCUGAUGUGAUACGAGGGCUGCAUUCUAACUGCGUGCACCAGUCCAUCGCAUGCGAAAAUGCACUCUGGUUUAGUAAGAAUCCGUGUGAGCUUCCCAAACACAGAUCCUCAAGACCAUUCAUAACUAAAUCUCCAUGGGAAAAAAAAAACACAUAUUGGGCCAAACACGGAAAUCUGCAAUUUUAUCUUCUCUUCAUAAUAUAUUUAAAGUGAGACUUUAUUAUUUUUUAAAUUCCUCUUCAAAAUCUUUAAUAGCUCCCACCUGUGUUGUUGUUUUCUAAAGCUAAAUUGGUUAGCUGGUCAUCUGGUAAACCCAAAGCAUGGGUUUCAUUCGUGGAAUGAAAAAUUUAUAACCCUGGUUAUAAACUGGUUAACCUAGAAAUGAUUCAAGGAAAUCAUUUAACUAGGCCACUGCUUGGAGUAACCUGCCUCAGUGUAAGCUGUGAAUCCAAAUGGCUAGAUGAUAUCGGGGUAACAGUCUCAUCUAGGACAACAAUCAGGGACUUGGCAUGACCACUUUCAUGAAAUAAAGGGGAAAAAAAAGAGCAAGAAGGACAGCAUCCAAUAUGCACAUACCGAACCGUAAAACUUGUGGCUAAAUUACUGCACCAAUUUGAAAACCUUAAGAUCUAGGAAGAAAAAAAAUGACAUUAAAAAAUUGCUCGGAAUCCUUUGAAUUAUCAAGUUGAUUGGCUCCCAUUAAUGCAGAAUGCUUAGAAUUUGGGUUUCCAAAACUUACAAGCCACAUGACAAAGCUCAUGUAAACCCAUCAAACUCCUGAGUUUGUGGUUCAGACGUGCUCCUGUGCUAUAGUUUUCACCAGCUCAUGUCAAGCAUAUUAUGGGAGGAUAAACUAUAGGUUUUCUCCCAACAUUUUCCAAGUGACUCACCUAAGCACUGGGGCGUGGAGAAUGGCCAGCAGUGGAUGACGGUGGUGUACCUUGCAGACAACCCACAAAGAAACAGAAAGAUGUCAAGGACCCACCACAACGACCCUAGACACCAGCACAAGCAGAGGCAAACUGCUGAGAAAGGAGUCCCUAUGAGAGCUUUGCUCGCAGCUCCCACCGGAGGCCUGGCCCACAGUUGAUACUGUGCUGACCCAUCUGUAAAUUGUAUGGUUUUCUCCAAAUCUGCUCCAAUUGCUCACUUAUCUGCUGAAUUUCUAAUGAACGUUUAUCGUGUCUACUCAAUUUUUACUGAAUUUUUAUACACACCAAGUGACUGUUCUUUGACUUGCACAACCAUUAUGAAUUUUAUCUGUACAGAACUAGGUCAGCUUCAAGAAAUCCUGAAUAUCCUAUAUAGGAAAAGAGAUGCCUAGGCGAAACAGAUUCAUGCCUGGCUCCCAUUUGAAAUCAUUUCUUCUCAUUCCUUUUAAUUUCUAAACAGCUAGAAUUUUAACUUUAAGUGCUUUGGAAAGUGCUUAUAAUAACUAAUCGGCAAGGGUGCCUGUCAAGGAUCUGGAUCUUGUUCAAUGUGGAAGAGUCUCAGUCUCCUUUUACCUCAUGUUUAUUAGCAUUCUCCAGAAAAACAGAACCAAUAGGAUGCACGUAUUGUUACAUAAGGAGAUUUAUUACAAAGAAUUGGCUCACGUGAUCGUGGAGGAUGGCAGGUCCAGAUGUGCAGUGUGGGCCGUAGGCUGACGACCCAGGACAGCCAAUGCUGCAGAUAAAGCGUGAAGACAGUCUUGCUCAGGGAGGCCAGUCCUCUUGUUCUGUUCAGGCCUUCCCCUGAUUGCAUGAGGCCCAUCCCAUGAUGGAGAAUAAUCUGUUCUACUGGAUUAAAAUGUCAGCCUCACCGGAAACACCCUGGCAGAAACACCCAGAAUAGUGUUUGACCAAAUACCUGGCCACCUCAUGGCCCAAUCCAACUGACAUAUAACAUUAGCCACCAGAUCUUGUCACGUCCAAUCUCUCCUUUCUCCAAGCACUAAGUCCUAUGGUGAAAAGAGCUCGGCCGCAAAUUUCAAGUGCUCUCAGGCCCUCAUGAACAAUGUAGUUUAGCAGCGGAAACACAAGUGGGUGUUGGUAUCAGCUGUGACCGGUUCAAAUCCUCUAUCCAGCAAGGCGGGUUGAGGACCUCGGGGAAGUCAUGUGACGUCCUGGAACCCCAGUUCAGCUCCUUGUGCAGUGGAGAUGACAGCUUGUCUCCCCUGGGUUUAUGGUGAGAAUCAACUAUCAUCCCCCAACGUGCCUGGCACGUGCCAGGCUGCCCACGAGGCUCGUCGGAGCGGGCGGCGCGGCUGCGUGGCCUGCGCCUGACAUCAGCUGUGUCUGGCUCCAGGCGGGCGGAUCUGCCCGGGACUGAGCUUCGGGAACCCCAGAGCCCCGUGGGAAAGAACCCACAGGGAACGCGGCAGUCAGGCGAGCUGGCCCGAGAAGAGAAAGCCUUAGUUAUGGGGCAAGGCUGGCUUUGCGAGUUCAGGGCCACGGCCCGCUGCCUACCGGCGCCUUUCCGGAUCCACACCGGAGGCCGGGGGAGGGAGGAAGGAGACUCUGAACAAAAACAGAGUUAGUUUUGCUAGAAACCUGUGGCUUACCCUCUUGCACUUCCUCCCCUCUUCUUUCCCCACGCGCAGGGGCGCCGAGACUUCCUUUACACUGGUGGCUUUGGCCUGCGGAGCCCAGCUCGGUCUCCACACCUGCACUCUCUGCCGGGUGCCUUGGGGGAGGCAGGCACCUGGCUUCCUGCGGGUCCUCCCCAAAGCUGCAUUCUUCGGAGGGAUUAGCAUUUACAGGGACCCCAGAGGGACUCAGCCCUUCUAACCCAAAUAGGCAAGCCCACUUCCCAACUAGCAACUUCACAAGUAAGCCACAUGUUAGUUAACAGGUACAUUCCCUGGUGGGCCACCACGCCAGCCUCCCCCCUGGCCCCCCGACACACGACCCCUCCAAACACGGAAACUGGACUCAGAAUCAGGGCAGCAUCAGGAAUUCACCCUGGGAACUGGCCCAGACGUAAACUGGAAAUACACUACAGUGUUGGUUCGGUUUUAUGGGCUGAAAAUGGUCAAACCUGGUGCACCCAGGAUUAGAUCUCAUCUUUUCAACACUAAGGCUACCUCUGUUUUCCUGGUCUACCUUCCCCACCCUGUGCUGGCCAGCGUCUGUCAGUAGAGAGAAACAUUCCUGCUCACUCUCCCCACCAAAUCUACUUCUUCUAGAUUAGUGCUGACCAAGAGCAUGUCCUGCGACAUCGGAGCUAUCCAAUGUGACAGCUAUGUGUGGCUCCUGAGCACGUGAAAUGUGCUAGUGGGACUUGAUGAACAGAACUUUUAAUAUUGAUUCAAGUUGAAGUUGCCCCUGAUAGCUAGUGCCUAUCGUAGUUGCAUCGUGCAAAUGUAGAUAAUCACUCCUCAGCCAUAUGAGACGCCUGUCGGGCAUUUAAUAGACACAUAACCCUGUUUUCAGGACUGUGGAUACCAGCUACACAGCUCUACUCUCCUUGAAAGUCUCUAAUUUUAAGGAAUUUGAAUUCCUCAGUGAAGGAAUUCAUAGACAAUAAUUUCUGGUGGGGGAAGCUCUGUUCAACCCUCAAACCAUCCUGAGGGUUAAUCUUAGGCGAGUUGUUUCAAGGUUCAUCACUCGCAAGCCCUAACAAUAGAAAUCCAAAGAAUGAACACCAGUUUGGUUGUCUCUCCAAUUCCUGAAGACCUUCUGAGCUCCCUUGGUUCCCAGGAUAUUCCCAGUAGACCUUCUACCAUCUACCCUGUGUACCUGCGGGUCAUGUCCUCCCCUCAGUAGACUUAGGGGCGACCCUUCUCAUCCCUGAAGGCCAGAAGUAUAUUCAUAGAGCAAAAGAAUUUCCCUAUACUCAAAAAUGUCUUAAA
This is a long non-coding RNA of Canis lupus familiaris (dog), 5976 nucleotides long. RefSeq lists it as uncharacterized. The transcript is spliced from 3 exons. The record is from RefSeq and is a predicted model, not a curated record. Lineage: Eukaryota; Metazoa; Chordata; Mammalia; Carnivora; Canidae.